UCCCUGGUGGUCCAGUGGUUAAGACUCAGCAUUUUCUCUGCUGUGGUUCUGGGUUUGAUUCCUGAUCCGGGAA
This 73-nucleotide transfer RNA is filed under the name Bos taurus (domestic cattle). It matches the Rfam family "tRNA". From Rfam's summary of the family: Transfer RNA (tRNA) molecules are approximately 80 nucleotides in length. Their secondary structure includes four short double-helical elements and three loops (D, anti-codon, and T loops). Further hydrogen bonds mediate the characteristic L-shaped molecular structure. tRNAs have two regions of fundamental functional importance: the anti-codon, which is responsible for specific mRNA codon recognition, and the 3' end, to which the tRNAs corresponding amino acid is attached (by aminoacyl-tRNA synthetases). tRNAs cope with the degeneracy of the genetic code in two manners: having more than one tRNA (with a specific anti-codon) for a particular amino acid; and 'wobble' base-pairing, i.e. permitting non-standard base-pairing at the 3rd anti-codon position. The record is from Rfam by way of RNAcentral. Lineage: Eukaryota; Metazoa; Chordata; Mammalia; Artiodactyla; Bovidae. RNAcentral also lists the same sequence under 4 other names.